GGGUUGUGAGGUUAAGCGACUAAGCGUACACGGUGGAUGCCCUGGCAGUCAGAGGCGAUGAAGGGCGUGCUAAUCUGCGAUAAGCGCCGGUAAGGUGAUAUGAACCGUUAUAACCGGCGAUACCCGAAUGGGGAAACCCAGUGUGACUCGUCACACUAUCAUUAACUGAAUCCAUAGGUUAAUGAGGCGAACCGGGGGAACUGAAACAUCUAAGUACCCCGAGGAAAAGAAAUCAACCGAGAUUCCCCCAGUAGCGGCGAGCGAACGGGGAGGAGCCCAGAGCCUGAAUCAGCAUGUGUGUUAGUGGAAGCGUCUGGAAAGACGCGCGAUACAGGGUGACAGCCCCGUACACAAAAGCGUAUGUGCUGUGAGCUCGAUGAGUAGGGCGGGACACGUGGUAUCCUGUCUGAAUAUGGGGGGACCAUCCUCCAAGGCUAAAUACUCCUGACUGACCGAUAGUGAACCAGUACCGUGAGGGAAAGGCGAAAAGAACCCCGGCGAGGGGAGUGAAAAAGAACCUGAAACCGUGUACGUACAAGCAGUGGGAGCACAGGUUUACCUGUGUGACUGCGUACCUUUUGUAUAAUGGGUCAGCGACUUAUAUUCUGUAGCAAGGUUAACCGAAUAGGGGAGCCGGAGGGAAACCGAGUCUUAAUUGGGCGUUAAGUUGCAGGGUAUAGACCCGAAACCCGGUGAUCUAGCCAUGGGCAGGUUGAAGGUUGGGUAACACUAACUGGAGGACCGAACCGACUAAUGUUGAAAAAUUAGCGGAUGACCUGUGGCUGGGGGUGAAAGGCCAAUCAAACCGGGAGAUAGCUGGUUCUC
RNAcentral lists this ribosomal RNA (825 nucleotides) under Salmonella enterica subsp. enterica serovar Agona. Its description in RNAcentral is "partial 23S ribosomal RNA". It matches the Rfam family "Bacterial large subunit ribosomal RNA", at positions 1 to 857 of the family's 2925-position model. RNAcentral also lists the same sequence under 1 other name. Lineage: Bacteria; Pseudomonadati; Pseudomonadota; Gammaproteobacteria; Enterobacterales; Enterobacteriaceae. The record is from RNAcentral.